Molecule: ribosomal RNA, 96 nt
Filed under: Polytomella piriformis
Lineage: Eukaryota; Viridiplantae; Chlorophyta; Chlorophyceae; Chlamydomonadales; Chlamydomonadaceae
Description: large subunit ribosomal RNA
Source: RNAcentral
UCACUAAAAAAUAAGGGUAACCGUUAGUGAAAAGUACAGUGAUGGAACAAAUAAGACAAAUACUUAUGAUUAGAAAGCAAAGUUUAAACAGGUACC